AUGGAACGCUGGCGGCAGGCCUAACACCUGCAAGUCGAACGGUAGCACAGAGGAGCUUGCUCCUUGGGUGACGAGUGGCGGACGGGUGAGUAAUGUUUGGGAAACUGCCCGAUGGAGGGGGAUAAAUACUGGAAACGGUAGCUAAUACCGCAUAAUGUCGCCAGACCAAAGAGGGGGACCUUCGGGCCUCUUGCCCUUGGAUGUGCCCCGAUGGGAUUAGCUAGUAGGUGGGGUAACGGCUCACCUAGGGGACGAUCCCUAGCUGGUUUGAGAGGAUGACCCGCCCCCCUGGAAAUGAGACCCGGUCCCGACUCCUUCGGGAGGCAGCCGUGGGGAAUAUUGCCCAAUGGGCGCAAGCCUGAUGCAGCCCUGCCGCGUGUAUGAAGAAGGCCUUCGGGUUGUAAAGUACUUUCAGCGAGGAGGAAGGCGUUGUGGUUAAUAACCGCAACGAUUGACGUUACUCGCCGAAGAAGCCCCGGCUAACUCCGUGCCCGCC
RNAcentral lists this ribosomal RNA (496 nucleotides) under uncultured bacterium. RNAcentral describes it as "bacterial SSU rRNA". It matches the Rfam family "Bacterial small subunit ribosomal RNA", at positions 31 to 513 of the family's 1533-position model. The record is from RNAcentral.